AUUGGACAUUUUUAAGUCAUUGUCAAGUCAAAAGCAAAACUUUAGUUAUUUAGAGAAACUACACGAUCAUAUUCAAUUGGUAGCUCAUAUUCCAGUAAGAAAUAUUGGCACCAUUGCCGGCAAUCUGAUGACGAAACACAAACAUCCUGACUUUGCGUCUGAUUUGUAUCUUUUGUUCGAAACCAUCGGCGCGCAACUGACUAUUUUAAGUUCGACAGAGAAAAGUGUUGUAACGAUGCAAGAAUUUUUAA
This is a long non-coding RNA of Papilio polytes (common Mormon), 251 nucleotides long. RefSeq lists it as uncharacterized. The record is from RefSeq and is a predicted model, not a curated record. Lineage: Eukaryota; Metazoa; Arthropoda; Insecta; Lepidoptera; Papilionidae. The transcript has 3 exons.